Molecule: ribosomal RNA, 732 nt
Filed under: Pediococcus acidilactici
Lineage: Bacteria; Bacillati; Bacillota; Bacilli; Lactobacillales; Lactobacillaceae
Description: bacterial SSU rRNA
Rfam family: Bacterial small subunit ribosomal RNA
Source: RNAcentral
GUAGCGAACAGGAUUUAGAUACCCUGGUAGUCCAUGCCGUAAACGAUGAUUACUAAGUGUUGGAGGGUUUCCGCCCUUCAGUGCUGCAGCUAACGCAUUAAGUAAUCCGCCUGGGGAGUACGACCGCAAGGUUGAAACUCAAAAGAAUUGACGGGGGCCCGCACAAGCGGUGGAGCAUGUGGUUUAAUUCGAAGCUACGCGAAGAACCUUACCAGGUCUUGACAUCUUCUGACAGUCUAAGAGAUUAGAGGUUCCCUUCGGGGACAGAAUGACAGGUGGUGCAUGGUUGUCGUCAGCUCGUGUCGUGAGAUGUUGGGUUAAGUCCCGCAACGAGCGCAACCCUUAUUACUAGUUGCCAGCAUUAAGUUGGGCACUCUAGUGAGACUGCCGGUGACAAACCGGAGGAAGGUGGGGACGACGUCAAAUCAUCAUGCCCCUUAUGACCUGGGCUACACACGUGCUACAAUGGAUGGUACAACGAGUCGCGAGACCGCGAGGUUAAGCUAAUCUCUUAAAACCAUUCUCAGUUCGGACUGUAGGCUGCAACUCGCCUACACGAAGUCGGAAUCGCUAGUAAUCGCGGAUCAGCAUGCCGCGGUGAAUACGUUCCCGGGCCUUGUACACACCGCCCGUCACACCAUGAGAGUUUGUAACACCCAAAGCCGGUGGGGUAACCUUUUAGGAGCUAGCCGUCUAAGGUGGGACAGAUGAUUAGGGUGAAGUCGUAACAAG